This 611-nucleotide long non-coding RNA is filed under the name Homo sapiens (human). Its description in RNAcentral is "HSALNT0100716". Lineage: Eukaryota; Metazoa; Chordata; Mammalia; Primates; Hominidae. The record is from RNAcentral.
UUUUCUCAUGUUUCAGCCUCCUUGGACCAAGCAAAAUAAGCUGACCUUUGAAGAGAACAGAUCUUGAGGGGGAUCUGUAGAUGGACACAGGGAGAUUCCAGGUGCCUCAGAGGGAUCAACUUGCAGUUCCAAGUUGUCCUCAGGGAAAUCUUGCCAUUUUUUGGGAUAAUGAACUGAAUUCUCAUCACAGUGGAAUACGUAUCAUCGGAAGGGAUUUUUAAAGGGCAGGGUGAGAAGUGGAUUGAGAAUUUCGCAUAGCACCAAGGUUAAACAGAAGCCAACUACGAAACAAAGCCAGAAGGGCACUCAAGCAAAUAAUCAAAAUCAAAUCCUUACCACGCUGCCAGGGACCGAUAUAUCCAGAGCAUGGGACCAGGAGCUGGACUCACGGUGGGAUCUCUGAUCAGUCACAGAAGGAGCUUGACGAGCUCAUGGGGUCUCUCUCCCUUCAUCACCUCUUUAAAGACCUCUUCAAAUACGUUCACACUCUGAGUUACUGGGGGUUUGGACUCCAACAUCUGAAUUUUAAGAGGACACAACUCAGUCCGUGACAGCGGGUCUUCUCGAAGUCUCGUGGGGAAGAGUGGUUCUUUGCAGUAAGUCAUUUCCUG